UCUUUGAAAUUAAAAAAUAUAUAUCUAUAUUACACAACUUUUCAUUUAUUCCUCACAAAUCAGUAUUUUACAAUUCAGGAUAAUUGGGAUAUAUGCUAAUUACAUCAUUCCAAUAGCUAUUUAUAAUUCGUAUAACUAAGUAAAAUUCAAUUUAGGGUUACAACCUAUUAAUUUAUAUAUUAAAAUAAGUUCAAAUAUUAUAUUGUUAUCAAAACGGCGUUUGAGGAUAAUAUAUGUUCAAUGUUUUAUACAAUUUUAAUUAUUAAAAAUAUAUAUUUAAUUUUAAAUAUAUGUACCUUUCGAGUUAAGUGUCACAAAUUGAAUUGUGGGUAAUAUGAAAAUAUACGGGAUAUGGAGAAACCCAUUGAAUUAUUCUGCCGUAAACACCGCAAUUAACCACCAGGGGGAGAUGUUCGGAAACUACAUGCAAUCUUGUAUUUGACCAAAUGUAAACAAUUAUCAUUUUGUCUACGAACAUCCGAUCCAGACGCAUGAUACGUCUUUGGAAAGCCACAAAACGGCUUUUUUAAUAUAAAAAAAAUAACCCCUGCAUAUUGAGCUACAGGGCACAGCACGAGCAGUGAAAGCAGGGUCCCCACAGACUUCUAUCAGGCGCGUUCACGGUCAUAACAAAGCCUACGUCAGCAUGCGCGCUUCACAGAAUGUCCGCCCCCAUGCUUGCCUGGAGUUUCACAUCGCAAUAGGAGGAUUCUCCUCAGGUCUGUGAGGAUGAGAAGGUCUCCACAGUCUGGAGUCUGGUCUCUGACAGGCUCAACAUACCUGUCAAUCAACAGGGACUCCUCUACAAAGGCAAGGCGCUGGCAGGUAGGCUGAACAGCACAGCACAGCACAGCACAGCACAGAUCACCCCUCAUCUCGCCCCUCACCUCACCCCUCCUCUCACGCCUCGCCUCACCCCGGGUCAGUGUGGCACAGCCUGCCUGCUCUUCUGAACAAACACUUCAGUGUCUGGAGCAGCUACACAAGGUGAUGAAGUGACACUUUGAAUAUGGGGCCUGAUGAGAGAAGUAUCCUUUUCAUGUGGUUUUGGUUUUGCCGUUGUGAGCAGGUGUGGGAGACAGCACCGUGUCUUCAUGUGAAAUAACAAAGUCAUCGCAGUGGAGGGACUCUCUGAAGGCUGCUGUUUGUGGAUUUGUCUUUUAAUGUGAGUGAUCUACUGUACUGUGAUGCCACUGUCUGUACGCACGCUGCACUGUAGGGGAGACACCGCUGGCAUUCACAGGGCAUGCUUGUUCAUUUA
Molecule: long non-coding RNA, 1261 nt
Organism: Acipenser ruthenus (sterlet)
Lineage: Eukaryota; Metazoa; Chordata; Actinopteri; Acipenseriformes; Acipenseridae
Exons: 3
Source: RefSeq, a predicted model, not a curated record